UUGCUGCCGCCGCUUCUCGACGAUUUCGUUAUAACAUUGGCAAAAUAGGUUAAGUGCGGAGAACAUCAGUCGUGCGGAGUUUGACGAGCCUGUGUGGCUUUAUCGAUUGUGCACUGAUGCAUGAAAGGCUAUUCGGGUCCAAGGACGUAUUGUCGGUUCGAUUUUGAAAACCCUGAGGUCGCGACCGACCUCACCGGCGCACGAACUAGUUCGAAAGUGGAGUCACAAGGUGUACUACUCAAAUACGGGCCUGAAACAGCCAUGCAGGUUCACAUCAUCUGCCUGCCUUGGGACCCUGGAAUUUAAUUGGUCGGGUUUGACUAAGAAGAAGCACCUGCUACACGACCAAUAGAGCCACAGUACACUGUUCAGGUUUCUCGAUACGUCGAGGCCCAUCCACCACACAGGCUGUCCUCCCGCCACUUGGCCACGUCCAUACUCAUGCUACCGCACAGCACCCCGCCACCUGUCGGGUCCCCGAUGUCCUGCGACGUCCAUUGUCCAUGACGGACGUGUGUGAGGGAACCCGUCGCCGAUUCCACACGUUCAACCGUCGAGCUACAACCGUGCAAUGGCGGCGGCAUCUGUCCAAGCACUCAUAGAGUUUUCGUCAGAGAUUACUAUAAGCAACUCUGGCACUAUAGUGUGUACGGGUGUUGUAAGUACGGUGGUUCAUAGCCAGCGUGGGAGCUAUGAGUAGUACACGAAUUUGUCUAAACUUUGCCCUUGUGGCUUCAAACGGCUUGGUUAACGUUUUUCAGCGCCAGCAGAUGAGGACAGAAAGAAGACGUUGAGAACUGAAGAUGUCCCCGUCCGCUCAUGCUAAACAUGUUAUCCAAGUUGGAGUGCCAACAUGCCCAACAUACUGCAGUCAAAUGGUGCUGCGACUUCGAAAAUUGGUCAUUUCCGCUGAAAUAAAGCGUUAUAAAUGCAGCAAUUCGCAGUGCUUAUGCACAUGCGCAGA
Dermacentor andersoni is the source of this 964-nucleotide long non-coding RNA. RefSeq lists it as uncharacterized. Lineage: Eukaryota; Metazoa; Arthropoda; Arachnida; Ixodida; Ixodidae. The record is from RefSeq and is a predicted model, not a curated record.